UACAUAACACGAGAAGACCCUAUGGAGCUUCAAACACUUAAGCUAACUUUAAAAUAUUUAAAUUUACCCCUUCGGGCAUAAAUAAGAAACUAAUAAAUCCCUAGCUUAACUUGUUUUUGGUUGGGGCGACCAAGGGGAAAAACAAAACCCCCUUACCGAAUGUGUGAGAUAUCACUUAAAAAUUAGAGUCACAUCUCUAAUUAAUAGAAAAUCUAACGAACAAUGACCCAGGACUCUUCAUCCUGAUCAAUGAACCAAGUUACCCUAGGAAUAACAGCGCAAUCAC
This 286-nucleotide ribosomal RNA is filed under the name Rhinoptera bonasus (cownose ray). RNAcentral's name for it is "partial 16S ribosomal RNA". Lineage: Eukaryota; Metazoa; Chordata; Chondrichthyes; Myliobatiformes; Myliobatidae. The record is from RNAcentral.